AUAUAUAUACAUAAAAUAUCAAAUACUUUGUGUGUGUGUGUGUGUGUGUGUGUGUGUGUGUAUGUAUACAUACUGUCAAAUACUUCAAAUACUUUCCUUGUUCUAAAGCAAGCCGUGGUUGCCCAUACUGUAUAAUGCAGUAGAGACAUACUAUAUGCAGAACUCAUUAAAAAAAUUUAGGAUUUACCUCCUUUCCAUAGAUUGUUUUGAGAUACGAAUUGAUAUUUCGAUUUCUUUCUUUUCUUAGUUAUUUUAUAUUUUAUUCAUACUUAAUACUAUGUUUUCCCAGAUAUAUCGCUAAUGAAAAGAGUUUACCAGUUUAAUACAUAGUUUAUACACUGAAGUUUGAUUUUUAGUGUUGUUUGCUUAGAUUAAAGCUAGUUUGGACAUUGCGUUGCUUUGAGCUUUGGAAUAAAUAAUCACUGUUUGACUACUGGCUGAAAAUAAGAUGCCAGGGGAAGAAACACACAUGCUUUUCAUGGACUCUAAGUGCAAUAUAUAAUAAAAGGAGGGUGUAUCGUAUAUGAAUUAUGAUUCGACACGCUUGGUUGCUGCUAGCGGUCAAAUAUGCUUUUCCUUUGCUGUCUGCUCCAAUUUCUCUUUGGACGGGUUGAGAGAGCACUACAUGUUCAGGUCAAGAUGUUUGCUCAGAAAUAGUAGUACAGUUGCAGCUGUGUUUGUUGGAGUAGGAGACUAGUUUAAAUAGCAUUGCCAUUUAUCCAGUCCAUUAACAGAACUCUGUAAAAUAAUACCAACUCUGCAUAAACUACAGGACAGUGUAAUAAAAUUACAAGCACUUGUUGACAGAUGGAAAGUGUAAGUAAAGGGAAACUAAAAUAAGGGACGAUAGGUUAGAGGUAAAAAAAAAAAAAAAAAUGCCAGCAUGAAGUUUUCUUAACUCAGGGAGACUCUGUCUUCCCCUUUCCUCCUCCAAAAUCAAGGUUGCAUUUUUAAUAUGAAUCUAAGAGUAGAGAAAAUUAUUUUUAAAGAAAUGUGGAGCUGGUUAACUGAAGAAGAGAUUGCAGUAAAUUCUGAAAUAGUUGAUUACGAUUGAUUGAAAUUUAUGAGUACGGUGUACAAAUCUUCCUGAUAAGUGAACCUGAAAAGAGGCUUCGGAGUAACUGAUUCACACUUUCUGAUGAGUUUGCGACUACUAAUCUGGGCUCAUUAGAGAGGAAUUUCAUUGGUAGUACUGCGGUUAGGCCUUUGGUUAUAAAUAUUUGUUUUGUGGUUUUUGGUUUAUUUCUUUGAGUACAUUAUAUUUACUGAGCCUUCUAACAUAAGCUUAAGUAUCCAAAGCACUUUAUAAAAACCCAUUUUUCACUUAUGUCUGCCAAACCAUACCAAAACUAAACAAACAAAUAAAAAUAACUGCAUAUGUCCCAGUGACUGAUUUUCACUACCUCUUUGAAUAAAAAUUUUUAUUUCUGGUUCUCAAAUGCCAUUCAUUAUUCCCCAGUGCUGUUUGGAGCGACUAAAUUAUCUAACAUUAGGAAUGGUAUUUUUAAGGCCAAGGACUCUCUUUAUGGCCUAGUGAAUACUUACCUGAGACAAAUAGAUUUUGACUGCUUAAUUUCAUUGGCCGGGUCAUAACUCAUUAUCUGUCAGAUAGGAUCUCAGAUUCUCAAAAUUGUUUUUGGUAACUAUAAUAAUUGGGACUUUCUAAAGAAGAAAACUUAAUUUUUUAUUAAGGCAAUAAUUUGUGAAGCAUAACAAAUAUAUAAUUAAAUUGUCUUUAUUUUCCUUUCCAACACUACCAUAGAAGGAACUUUAGUCUUUGUUUCUUUAAUAGUUAUAAAAGCAAUGCAUGCUCAUUGUAAAAAUGAUUCAGAAAGAUAAGAAAAAAAUAGAAAAUAGGAAGUAGAAAUUACCUGUUAUCUCACCACGCAGAUACAGCCAUUAUGAUACAUAUCAAUAAUUAUCUUAGAAUUAUACUUAUGAUUAUGCAUGUAAAUGCUAGUUAGAUGUGUAUUAUGAAAAAUUUUUUUUUUAAAUAUCUCCAGGGUCUAGCAUAAGGCUUGACCUUUAGAAGCUCUCACUACGUGUUUGAUGUAUUGAAUUAUAUCUCUGUUGGGCUCAGGGUUUGUAACUUGAAUGGGCAAAUAGUAUCUCUGCAAUGGCAUUAUAAAUAGUGGAGAACCAAAUUAAAUUUAAAGGAUAACUUGCUCAAUUAAAUGUUUGAUCCCCCUAGGUUUCCUAAGCAUUGAAGGGUUUUAGUAGACACAACACAAUCAAAAUGAUCCAUUUUUCACAUAAGUGAAAUAUACCUUAAUUUAAUAAAAUGUUAUACUUAUAUAAAACUAACUCCCUAGUUCUUGGAUGUCGAUUUAGCCUCAUAGGUUUCCUGGAGUCAACCAUAAAAGUAGAAUACAACAGCAGAGCCUGUGUACAAAUUUCUCUUGAAUUAAUUUCUGCCAGCUCUGAUUAAAGUGUGGGCUACUAGAGGUGUCAGGUGCCAUAGUUUCCUGCUUCAUUUUACUCUUGGCCUGUUUGGCCCCUGCCACAAUAAAUCCGACAGUGGUUGUGCAGGAAUUGCAGGUUACAGUUGCUACGGUUACUGUUGUUCAGCCAGACCGACAUCAUUACUCAUCCAGCGCGCUGCCAUGAUAGCUACCGCUGAUUUCUGUUGCUGAGACUGCCAAAGAGCUUCAUGUGCUGAGGAUGAAAGUUCCGUCGAAGGGUCGAAGGUGGCGUCAGUGUUCUAAUUUGGUGUAAGAACACACUAUCUGAAUUAUAUACUGAUACUUUGCUAAGGGGAACAGAUUGACUUUGUAUCAAGAGAGAUAAAACUUAGAACUAAGUGUUCACUUUCAGUGAUUAAAACACCAAGUCCUUUAUUACUUAGGUAACUUAAUAAUUACUUAUUGGGCCCCAGGGACUCUGUUUUUGCCACUUAAAAAAAUAGAGACAUACAAGGAGUAUUUCAUUUGAAAAGAAAUUUUUUAAAAUAAAUUUUUUAAAAAUUAAAAAUUUAUAAUUUUUGGUAACACUAGAUAACCAAAACCUUAUUUUUAAAGAGGUAAACAACAGACUUGAUAUAUGGUUAUCUGAACAAAGCUCAGAGUAGCUAUUACCACUCCUCAUGAAAGAAAUAAAAGUGCAGAGCCCUGAACAGGACCUACUUUUACUUUUAUUUUUUAAAUCAACUUGUAAUCCUAUGACUUAAGCAUUCUAAAUCCAAUGAAGAUUAAGAUUAUAUUUGAGAUUUUGCCAGAUCUAGUGUUGAUGGUUUUUACUUCAAAGGGAUUACUAAUAGACUUGUUACUAAAGAAAGCCAGCAAUUGUCGGGUUUCUGCUGUUGCCAGCACACAGAGUGGACCCUCUGAGUGUGCAAUCCACAGCACAGCUCAUAGUAGAACAAAAUCAAGUGCAAGAAGGUUUUUCUCACUCAGCUGUACUUAUUUAAAUGGCUGCUUUCACAAAUGCAAAUGUUUCUAACCCCACCAACAAGUACUCAUGGUCUGCCAACUUGAAUUUGUAGAAUACUGUGAUCCAUGCUCAGGAGGGAACUAACAAAAUAUGUGGCUCCAUAAAAUAUGUGAUGUUUGUGGGCCUCAGCUGUUGCUAACAUCUGACCUAUACUAUGUAAAUUAAUGCCUAGAGAGUUCAUUGGGGGUGAUCAAAUCUGUGAAUUUAAGUAUAUCACGUUCAUGUAAAAAUUAUAUACACAUCAUCAGAUAAUAAAGUUUGUAAAUAAUGUAAUUGCCACUACAAUCUCAUGGUUAUGAUCUUUGGGACUGAAAUUUACAUAAAUAUUAUUUCUAGGAAUAAGGGUUAAGGUUUUAGUUAUAUUUAGGUAAUUUGAAUGUAUUUACCUUAUGUUUUAAGAUACUGAAAUCAAUUUAAUUUAUAUUUUAAGGGAGGUGGUGUAAAAUGACAGUGUUUGAAUGUCUACCCAGAUACUUGCUGUUCUGUUACCUUUGAAGUCAGUAGACACCCCUAUUAUCGAGUUUUCAUAUCUAUAACAUGGGAAGGAUCAUGCUGUUUACCUUCUAGGAAAGCACAGUAAAAUUUAAAUUCCACAUUCAAAAGUUACAGAAUUAUAUUUGUACUAUUGUCAUCCUUUCAUUGCAAGCAAGAUGGACAUAAUAGUCACUCAGAUGUCCUUGCAACUUGCCCUCAUUCAGCAAAGUUCUUGAUUCUAUUGCACGGCCCUCUUGCAUUUAUCAUUACUGUAAUAACACAUAAAUAUGUGUAGUCACAUUAAUUUUCUUACCACUGCAAAUUGACAUGAAAUAUGCUUUUGUACCAAGUUAUUUCUCUUUACUUGGCUGUAGAAGGUACAUUAGGGCCAGGAUAUUCUUAAUGAGAUUUCUUUAAGUUGAUGAUUCAUAUAGUUUUAAAGUUCAUCUGCAAAAUAAAUUAGAGAAAGAAACAAAAAGACUGUGACUCAGGAACUAUUUAUGUUAGUGUAUAUAUUUAGAUUGCUGUUUUAAUUAUGUGUUUUUCUGAGUGACAAAGGAAAAAUACAAAGCUCAGAAAAUGCUGAGUGAACUCCUUAAACUAUAGGUAAAGUGUGCUGAAAGUUGUUCAAAAGAUUUACAUAUGUUGCAAAGGAACAUUUUAAGUACUAAUAAAAAUUUCGUUUUUAAGAUAAUAGAAGCUUAAUCUGUUAGCCUUGUAAUAUGUACAUAUGAUUUGAUCUAUGGAACAUUGUAUAGGUGAUUUUAAAUGUAUUUUUAGACGACUAAUUAUGUCAAAAUCCAGUAAAAAUCUGCAAAUCUUUUAGCACUUUUAAAUUGAAGCAAUGUUACAUGAUGAAACAAGUUUGAACCAGAAGUCAUUUUGUUUUACAUUGGUGUUUUUUUUUUUUUCCACAAUUCCAGUGCUUCUCAAAGUAGACAGCAUUAUAGUUAGACACAGAGUGUAUCAUUCAUUACAUAUUACCUGUAACUGAGUUAUACUCCGUGAUUACAAUCACUCAAUUUUUUAUGGAGGGUUAACCUUACAAUAUUUGAUAAUUUUCGAUAUAAGAAACCUUUGGAUGAACGAAUUAAAAGAAAUUAAUCUUAGAAAAGUAAGCAAUGGAGAGUAAAAAGACCAGUCCUUGGCAACACCCAUGGCCUAGGGUACAGCAUAGAGGUGUGAAACGUUAUUAAGAGAACAUCUGUGUCUCUUGAAACAUCCCUCAAAUGAAAGUUUACAGCCAAGUAUGGUAACUUGAUUUAAGUGUUAAAAAAAAAACUUAAAAGAGAAAUAAAUGAGUCUGGAAACAGAAUGGGAAAAAAUAGCUUUGCUCCAUCACGAUAGGUUUCUUCUUCUAGUGAAAGAUUAAAGCUCGAAGUAUGUGAAUAGCUGAGAACAGCACAGAGAAAGGUUGAUUGCUUCCCCUCCGACAGUUCCAAUUGAUUGAAAAAAGCCUAAUUUAAAGUUCUGUUUGUUCUGUGUCUUAAACCAUCAGAAUUCUCUUUUAGGACCGGAGGAAUGCUCUGGAGGAAAAAGAAUCCAAGGAUAAAAAGUCAUUGCAAGCCAACAAUUGUUCCUAAUCCUCACAAAAUGCUGGAGAAAUUAAAUUUAUUCUUUAUUGCUCAAAGUGUUACCUAGGUCACUGGGCGAUGGGAAAAUUGGACUGGAAGUCGAGUAGGCGCAAGCUUUGUUUUUGUGUCUAGAUGCUUAACCUUAGACACGACAAGGCAUCUUAGAGUGUUGUGGGAACUUGGUUCAGAGCAUUAACACCAAGACUUUUAUUACCCUGGAUUUAUAAUAGGCUGUGCUGUCAGGAGAUGAAAAUGUUGUGUUUACAUUUCAGUGUUAAAUGAUCAUUUAAUUAACACCUAAGGGAAAAAAAACUUGUGAAAUUCUUAGCAGCUUUUAUUGUUGGUUUCCUGGGAGGUUUUAAUAUCCAAGUUUCAUUGAGAUUUUUUUUUGUAAGUAAAAACACAAAAGACAUUAUAAACUUUUUAAGGAAGACAAACAGUUUAACCUUGACCCUUUUUAUCUAAAAUAUUAAUUUAAAUUAAAUUUUAAAUCUGGUAUUCUAAGUUUCUAGACUAAUAUAUUCAAAUAUAUCUUAAUUGAACACUGCUUUUGUGUAAACAGUAUAAAAAUAUUAUUGAAUUUACAUGAUACGUUUUAUAUGGUAAAACAUUUGAAGUUAUUAGUUUCUCUUAAGAAGUUUAAAAUGUUUAGAAUACUGAUUUAAACAUUUUGCAUCUGUCAAACUACCACUGUAGUUACAUUGUUUAGAAUCUGUCUCAAUGUAGGUAUUUAUAUGCAAGCAUAUUCUAUUGAUAAGAGUUACAUCAUAAUUAUAUUAUUUUUAUCAUUAAUUUGGAUAUAGUUACUUCAUGAUGAAAGAGGUUUAUAUAUACAAAAUAGGGAAGAAUAAUGUCAUUAAUAUGAAAAUUCAGAUUCACUUAAUUAGAAAUAACUACAAGAUUAGACAUUGUAAAAUACUGUUAUUUACUCUUGCUCUUUUAUGAGAGAGUUAAUCAAAAAGAAAUGGUCUGAGGCAGAGUGAUAACAACUGGAAAAUAUAAUAUGCACUUUCAAGAGUAGCUGCAUAGAAAUACAUUGUGCACCCUGGACAAUUAAUUUUCCUGACCUUUUGAGGAUAACAGAAUGUGUGGAACCUGAAUACCCUGAAGGCAAAGGAAUCUGGAGUCUGUUUCUAAGAGGAAAGCUUCUCUCUGAGUUGGUGUGGGUUUUCUUUCCCUCUCUUGAAGGGGAAUGAAUUCCACACCUAAUGAAUAGUUUCAAGGAAAGUUGUUAAUCAGGUACUCCAAGUGACCACCCUGAAUUCUUCUUUUAUUACACAGGAACGUGAGGGAAUGAGAAAGCAACAUAGUUACAUUUGAUAAAAGGAAAUACCUUUUCUCCCCUCCCCACCCACCAUGUAAUCCCUUGGAAUUUAGUUGACUUGGGAAAUUACUGCAGCAAAUAAUACGUUUGAAAAAGCAAUGUUGUAUGAACAAGAAUAAUGCUUGUAGCUACAAUAAUUAUGUUAAAAAUCACAAAGUAUAUCCAUCAUCAUAUUUCAGGGCAAGAGUUUUCACCUAACGAGGUUGGAAAAGAAUUUUUCCUUAGUUCUUGUCAAUCCCCCAGUGAAGCACGACAUACAGGCAUUGCUGUUAUCCACAUUAUAUUUCGUUCUUUUCUGAUUCAUCAGAUAACAUUCUGUUGCUCUAAAAUGGGAAACUCAAUCAAAAUCAGAUGAAGAACAUUAAGUAAAUGUGACAGAGGGGUAAUAAUGAACUAUAAAUAUAAUUCAAUCUUAUUCGGAUGGACAAAUGUUAUUCUUCAAUCCUUUCCCAUUUAGAAGCCAUAGUCUGAUUUAAAAGGAGAAAAGUGGUUUAAAACAACAUUAGAGUCCAGAUAUUUCUGUUUUCUAAAUUAAGUUACCUGAGUUGAAGAACACUAUUCAAGUGUGAGUAAACAUGUUUUGAUAAAAAGUUUUGUUAUUUCCAAAUAAAUAUUUCACCUCCAAUCAUCACUGUGAUGUCUAUUACAAGAUACUCACUUUGGUUGUUGUUGUUGUUUAAUAGUAUGAUUCAGUUUUAGAUUUUUAAAAGGAUAGUUCUUAUGCCCAAUUCUCAAUAAUAUAUUGUUCCAAUAUCUUUUAUUUAUUACCAUACUAAUUUUAUAUUAGAUUUCAAAGAAGUGAUGUCUACAGUGUGCUCUCCAGUGAUUCGAAAAAAGUGUGCUGUGGUCAAAUGUGUUGGGAAAUAAUGAAAGUCACAUCACCUAUGGUGGUUACAGUGUACACUUGUGUAUUCAUCUUAAAAGCAUACGGCAAUAAAUAAAUCUGUUUAAUCUUUUAAAA
Molecule: long non-coding RNA, 7762 nt
Organism: Sapajus apella (tufted capuchin)
Lineage: Eukaryota; Metazoa; Chordata; Mammalia; Primates; Cebidae
Exons: 2
Source: RefSeq, a predicted model, not a curated record